This is a long non-coding RNA of Suncus etruscus (white-toothed pygmy shrew), 132 nucleotides long. RefSeq lists it as uncharacterized. The transcript is spliced from 2 exons. Lineage: Eukaryota; Metazoa; Chordata; Mammalia; Eulipotyphla; Soricidae. The record is from RefSeq and is a predicted model, not a curated record.
AGUUUCCAGAAGGCUGGUAAUGAUCGUUAGAAUUCAAAGAGGCCUUAAAAAGAGAUAGAUGUAAAACUAAAACAAAAACACUGAGCUUUAUCUUACAUGUGUGAGCCCUGGAUUGAAUCCCCAGCAUUAAAA